RNAcentral lists this ribosomal RNA (426 nucleotides) under uncultured bacterium. Its description in RNAcentral is "bacterial SSU rRNA". It matches the Rfam family "Bacterial small subunit ribosomal RNA", at positions 356 to 773 of the family's 1533-position model. The record is from RNAcentral.
GGGGAAUUGUUCGCAAUGGGCGCAAGCCUGACGACGCAACGCCGCGUGGGGGAUGAAGGUCUUCGGAUCGUAAACCCCUGUUGGGUGGGACGAACAUUUUCGUGGUGAACAGCCACGGGAACUGACGGUACCACCUGAGGAAGCCCCGGCCAACUACGUGCCAGCAGCCGCGGUAAUACGUAGGGUGCAAGCGUUGUCCGGAAUUAUUGGGCGUAAAGAGCUCGUAGGCGGUCUGUCGCGUCGGCUGUGAAAUCCCGGAGCUCAACUCCGGGUCUGCAGUCGAUACGGGCAAACUGGAGUACUGCAGGGGAGACUGGAAUUCCUGGUGUAGCGGUGAAAUGCGCAGAUAUCAGGAGGAACACCGGUGGCGAAGGCGGGUCUCUGGGCAGUAACUGACGCUGAGGAGCGAAAGCGUGGGGAGCGAAC